UUUAAUGUCAGUAAUGAUGAGAAUUAAAGUGGAAUGCGUUUGGAUGACCUUUGAAUAUCUUAUCAGAUUGGGCCUGACUGUUGGAUCUCUAUUUUAUUGGUCCAUCCUGUUCAAAUUCAAAUCCUUUAUCAGAUUGGGCUUAUUGCUCUGGGUAUCCACUAUCCAGCCCUCCCUUAUUCCACUUCGUAUGUUAAAAGUGGGUAUAAUUCACUUAUUUCCUAUCCUUGGGCCUUUAUUAAAUUCUAAAUAUCAUGAAUCAUAUAUAGUUUUCCAUUAAACAUCUUGUUUAACUAAAAAACUAGGGGGUAAUGUUGGGUCAUGAUAUGUCUCCUAUUUUGGG
Molecule: long non-coding RNA, 340 nt
Filed under: Panax ginseng (ginseng)
Lineage: Eukaryota; Viridiplantae; Streptophyta; Magnoliopsida; Apiales; Araliaceae
Description: long non-coding RNA (PGIN_LNC017206)
Source: RNAcentral